This is a long non-coding RNA of Solanum pennellii, 796 nucleotides long. RefSeq lists it as uncharacterized. NCBI's taxonomy places the organism in Eukaryota, Viridiplantae, Streptophyta, Magnoliopsida, Solanales, Solanaceae. The transcript is spliced from 3 exons. The record is from RefSeq and is a predicted model, not a curated record.
CCAACAGACCCCUUAUUCACUUACCCUCCCUGUUCCAAGGAGAUCCACCGCACCAGCGGCUCCUCCAUUGCUCUAACUGGCGGAACAACCCCUCUCUUCUUCUCCACUGGGGAGAUCCUUGUCCUCUCCCACUUCUCGAGAAAGUCGAUCAAACAACCGCCACUCGUCUUCUCUUUAAGACUCUGUCAGGCGUCACUACAGUUGUGACAACCAAGAGACCAGCGUCGCUGUUUCUAUUGGCGUGCUCACGACCGUGCCACCGUGAGCCUCCUCCAGCGAGCUUCGUCGAAGCAAGCGAGUCUAGGGAUUUUGGGAGGCGUUCAGACCUACGUCUAUUAAAAAUGGAUUUUUAAAGAUUCGUCUGUUGUUGGAUGUGUUUGGUAGACUUUAUCUAAGUUGACGACCUAUCAGAAUUGUCUCUCAUCUCUAUGAGAUGCAGAUCUAACUGGAAUCAAGAUUGAAGUUCAUGAAAAGCUUAAAGAGAAGUGUUGCGAAAUGAAGUAGUCAAAAUGAUAGAUUCCGUUUGUAAAGGGGGAGGUGUAUUAAGGAAAUUUCAUCAACAAAUCUAAAGUUGGGAAUAAACAAAUAAACAACUCAGUUUUUUUUGCUCAAAACAAGUGAAGCUCACGAGAUAGGAGAAAGACGUAACAAUUAGAUUACAUUGUAUCUUUCAAGAUAAGCAUAUAUUUGUUAUAGGACAUUAUUUUGUUUUAAAUUGUCUACAUUUGUGACAAACCAUUUGUCUUCUCAUUACUUUCUGACCAGUAAUAUAAUUUAUUUUUAAUUACGUAUUAAA